GGGAGGGGAGAAUCAACACUGGGACCAACACUUACUCCAAACCCCCAUGGAAUUCAGAGUCAAGAGCCCGUGUUCCGUCCCAGCCUCCGGGUGGGCUUCCAGGGAGCUGGCUCUUGCCUGCCUUUCAGAACCUCAGGCCGUCCAUUUAGGAUGGCAACACAAGCUGUGCUGGCCUCCCUCUCAGGACGGCCACCAGGGGGAAGGAAGCCCUGGGGGCUCAAAAAGCUCUGGGAGCCUCCCUAGCCCUGGCGGCAGAUGCGUUGCGGGAACACCACGGCUCCAACGGUGCUCUCAGGACGCUGUCCCCUCCUGCGUCCUCCCCGGCACCCGUCCGUCCUGCGAACUCAUGCCCUCUGAUCUGAAGCGGCCCCAGAGACACAUUCUCCCACCCUCCGGGCCUGGUCUUCAGGUCUCAGCCGUGUCCUCACCAAGCUGUCGGGUCUAUCCUCCUGGGUGCUCACGGCUCCCUCCACCCUCCGGUGGAUCUGGAAUCACUCGACCGUCGGCAAAACAGAAAACACAGCCGCUUUCAGAGCCCAAACACAGCGUGGGCUCCCAAGUCAUCUGCUGCCUAAUUCAGCGUGCUCAGGCUGCUGCGGCCUGUGGGGACACGGGCCCCUGUCGUUCCAGGCCCCAGACCUCAAGGGAGGACACGCGGCUCUUGGAGACCCUCCGCCUCACUUCCUUCCUUUUCACUCUCUGCACCGGAGGGCGCUGGCGUGUGCGUGCGUGCGUGUGCGUGCGUAUCUGCAUGCAUCUGCGAAGAGCCCGGCUGUCUGCGCGGGGCCUGGUGGUGCCCUGCAAGCCAGCUUCCCGCAGCGCAGUCCUGGGACGCCGUCAGGCCCAGGAAGCCGUGCUCUCGGUCCGUGCUGGCGAGGGAAGACCGGAGGCAGCGCGGCGAGUCUCCCGCGAAGCCACAGCCUGUGCUCUGCGAGAGCCCUUCCAUGUGGAGAAGUUCCCUGCGUGUGACGGGCACGCAACCCAGUGAGUGCACGGCACGUUGUGUUGCCACACGCUGAGCGCCUCACGUAAGCGCAGCCCCCCAGAGGCAGGCCACCCCCUGACGGACGUGGAGUGGGGUGCUCAGCGGGGCAACUGUUCUUGGCGGAAUCGGUGCGGCUUCCGUCAUUCAACUGUAUGCUUUGGAGAGUCGUCAUAUUUUUAUCCAUUUAUUCUAGACGGAGAGCCCGACCAUACGAGGGAGGGGGGGGCAGAGGGAGAGAAUCCUCUAGCAGCCUCCCCGCUGCGUGCAGAGCCCCGCGUGUGGCCCGAUCCCAGGACCCAGGACCCUGAGAUCAUGACCUGAGCUGAAGCCAAGAGUCAGGCGCUCAACUGACGGAGCCACCAGGCACCCCCGUAUUUUUAUUUAUAAUUGUGGUAAA
RNAcentral lists this long non-coding RNA (1382 nucleotides) under Ailuropoda melanoleuca (giant panda). RNAcentral describes it as "lncRNA (ENSAMEG00000028401.1)". The record is from RNAcentral. Lineage: Eukaryota; Metazoa; Chordata; Mammalia; Carnivora; Ursidae.